RNAcentral lists this small RNA (110 nucleotides) under Marmota monax (woodchuck). Lineage: Eukaryota; Metazoa; Chordata; Mammalia; Rodentia; Sciuridae. The record is from RNAcentral.
GCUGGGUGUGGUGGUGCACACCUGUAAUCCCAGUAACUCAGGAAGCUGAAGCAGGAGGAUCGCAAGUUCAAAGCCAGCCUGGGCAACUUAGUGAGACCCUCCAGCAACUU